RNAcentral lists this ribosomal RNA (474 nucleotides) under uncultured bacterium. RNAcentral's name for it is "bacterial SSU rRNA". It matches the Rfam family "Bacterial small subunit ribosomal RNA", at positions 335 to 802 of the family's 1533-position model. The record is from RNAcentral.
ACUCCUACGGGAGGCAGCAGUGGGGAAUAUUGCACAAUGGGCGCAAGCCUGAUGCAGCCAUGCCGCGUGUGUGAAGAAGGCCUUCGGGUUGUAAAGCACUUUCAGUCGUGAGGAAGGUAGUGUAGUUAAUAGCUGCAUUAUUUGUACGUUAGCGACAGAAGAAGCACCGGCUAACUCCGUGCCAGCAGCCGCGGUAAUACGGAGGGUGCGAGCGUUAAUCGGAAUUACUGGGCGUAAAGCGCAUGCAGGUGGUUGUUAAGUCAGAUGUGAAAGCCCGGGGCUCAACCUCGGAAUAGCAUUUGAAACUGGCAGACUAGAGUACUGUAGAGGGGGUAGAAUUUCAGGUGUAGCGGUGAAAUGCGUAGAGAUCUGAAGGAAUACCGGUGGCGAAGGCGGCCCCCGUGGACAGAUACUGACACUCAGAUGCGAAAGCGUGGGAGCAAACAGGAUUAGAUACCCCGUGGUAGACUGUCA